CAGAAAGUUAUGGGGUCAAUAUGUGCACGAUGCAUUCAUACUGGCCCUUCAAGUUUCUC
RNAcentral lists this microRNA precursor (59 nucleotides) under Panagrellus redivivus. RNAcentral's name for it is "microRNA prd-mir-7958 precursor". Lineage: Eukaryota; Metazoa; Nematoda; Chromadorea; Rhabditida; Panagrolaimidae. The record is from miRBase by way of RNAcentral.